Pogona vitticeps (central bearded dragon) is the source of this 2809-nucleotide non-coding RNA. NCBI's taxonomy places the organism in Eukaryota, Metazoa, Chordata, Lepidosauria, Squamata, Agamidae. The record is from RefSeq and is a predicted model, not a curated record.
UCCGCUUCUCUUGGCCCCGCCUCCCCGCCACAGUUCGCUCGAGCUGCUUGCCGCGAGCGGCCCCGCCUUUCUCCCCAGCGGCUUGAGUGGGAGGCGGUUGUCCCUCAGAGUAGUGGAGGGAAGAGACUGAGAGAGCGAGCGCGCGCGCGUGCGAGAGCCUCGAGGAGAUUCCUCCUCUGCCCGCCUUCCCGGCUAACGAUGCAGUUUAUGUUGCUUUUUAGUCGUCAGGGGAAGCUGAGACUUCAGAAGUGGUAUGUCCCAUUAUCUGACAAAGAAAAGAAGAAAAUCACAAGAGAACUUGUUCAAACAGUCUUGGCCCGUAAACCGAAAAUGUGCAGCUUUCUGGAAUGGAGAGAUCUGAAGAUUGUAUACAAAAGAUAUGCAAGCCUCUAUUUCUGCUGUGCCAUUGAAGAUCAGGAUAAUGAGCUAAUAACCCUGGAAAUAAUUCAUCGUUAUGUUGAACUGCUUGAUAAGUAUUUUGGAAGUGUAUGUGAACUUGAUACCAUUUUCAAUUUUGAGAAGGCUUACUUUAUUUUGGAUGAGUUUCUCUUGGGAGGAGAAGUUCAGGAGACUUCCAAGAAAAAUGUUCUUAAAGCCAUUGAACAGGCAGAUCUAUUACAGGAGAGCCAGAAUGAAGACUGGGGAGGUUUGUCUGAGGAUAUCUUAUGAUUAAGAGCACUCUAAAGCCUUAGCGUUUUGAUCCCCAUCUGUAUGAUUGGAUGCUAAAGAAGCAGAGACCCCUCGUAGUGUACUUGAAGAAAUUGGACUGACAUAAACCUACUCCUUUCCUGAUGUCUUGCGUGGUGUUUCUCAUAACUGUAAAUGUUCACUGCCUCCAUUUAAUGUUAGCUGAUGGUGUUUUGAUGCUAUUUGUCAGUAUUACUGUUCUGCUAAGCUACUUCAUUCAGACCUACAAGAAAAAAAUCCAUUUAUUAUAAAAUUGAAAAAGGGAACAGAAUUUUUAACUUUCCAGGAAAAAAACUAAAAGGGAUUUUGCGGUGAUUUUGGCCACAUUAACUUAAAGUGACUCAUGACUUUCAGUAAUAUUUUGUUAAUUUUUUUGCCAUCACAUAAUGUAUCAAAUGCUAGAGGUUAUGAAUUAUUCAGAAAAAGUUACACAUUGUAACAAAGUGAUAUGUGUUAACAUAGAACUUGGCUUUGUGUAACCAAAGACUUUUAUUAUACUGGAGUCAGCAUUUGGUAAAUCUCACUUUAAGUUACUGCUUAAGAUUUGUGGGAAAAUAAUUAUUUGCAGCUGUUUUAUUUAUACCAAAGAAUCCUAUUAAGGUCAAUAGAAUCAAACUGUUGUGACCUGUUAUGAUAGCUUCAUUUCUAGCAACUGGGUUAUGACUAGAAUUUCAUUUUACUGAGGCUGUAAAUUCAGUCAGACAUCUGGAUUAAUGUCCUACAAGGGGAACACAAGCCACAUAAAAAUUCAUUUUAAAAACUUUUUUACUACUUUAAAUAUUUUCUUGAUUGUACACUUGGUAUUUUCAGAAGUCUAAAACAAUGUUUGUUCAAAAGUAUUGGGAUAGUGACAUAAUUGCAAAGGGAAACAUACAAAAAGGGAAUCUUGUAAAACUUUACCUAACUUUUUUACCAGUAUAAUACAGUGUACUUUUAAAUGAUAACCUGAGCAGCUACUAGGAUCAGCUGUGGUUACUCAUCAAAUUUAAUUUUCUCUUACACAAGCUUAGGUUUAGUUAUAACUCUGUAUCUUUAUACCUGGGUGAAAAACUGGGUCCUUCCAGAUACUAAAUCAGUAUGACCAAUGGUAAAGGAUUACAGGAGUAGUAGUCCUAACACAUCUAGAAGGCCACUGGAGCCCACCUCUGCUCCACUUGGUACAAUCAAGCCUUAAACUAGAAAUUUCCUUUGAAACACUGCCAUGAUUUCACUUAGGCUGUGUAACACUGUAUAUUUUGGUUGGUAAUGAUUCCCAUAGAACAAAAUAGGAGUAACUUACAAAUAAAGCAUGCAUAGGAUCAGGCUGCAUAGGUAUCACAAAGCCAUAUCGGUCAAAAUCCUGUUAGGGAAGACCUAUGUGCAUAGGGUUGCACAAAUUUUUGAUUUCUGCUUGUCAUCCCUUGCAUAAGCUGCGCCACUAACUUGAGGAAACUGAGGAGCACACUGCUUGCUUGGCAGUCCAGGAAUGCUCAUCAGCAGGAUUUUCUGCUUGGACUGUGCAGGACCAAUAGGAUUUUGGCCAUUCAGUUUACUGUAACUUACUAUUUGUUGUAUGCGUAGUAUUAUGUUCUAAGAGAACCUCAGUAACAGAGCUCUUGCUCUUUAAACCAGUGUGACCUCCCUUGCAUAUAUUAUAAAACAUGCACACUUUCACUUCUCAACUUUUAAGAUAAGCUUAUUGUGAAGUUCUACUCCUACAGAUCCAAUUGCUUUAACUAAUGUGUUCUGAAGUAUUCAGAUGCUUUACUAUAAAACAGUGCCACGUGUUUGAAAGAUGGUUGCUUUAUGCCAUAUCCUGGCCACAACAGAUGCAUUAUGAAAAUAAUUAUGCUUGUAUAAAAUAUACAGGAAUAGCUUUGUUGUACAUUUCAUUGACAGAGACCUGGAGUAAUGAAUUUCAAUAGACAACAGAGUGGCUCUUCGACACUGAAAUGACAGAAUUAUCUUGACACUUAAACAAUGUUUAAACCAAUUUUUGUUUGCAUUCAGACCACAUUAAGGUAUAAACUGUUGCCUUGUAUGUGCUUGGUUGAAAAAGCUUUGUGAUUGUGACAUAAGCUGUGUGGACACUGUCUUAAGUAUCACACCAGUUUAGUUGUAAUAAAUGUCCAUUUUUACUCCA